CCUACGGGAGGCAGCAGUGGGGAAUUUUGGACAAUGGGCGAAAGCCUGAUCCAGCAAUGCCGCGUGCAGGAAGAAGGCCUUCGGGUUGUAAACUGCUUUUGUACGGAACGAAACGGUCUGUUUUAAUACAGUGGGCUAAUGACGGUACCGUAAGAAUAAGCACCGGCUAACUACGUGCCAGCAGCCGCGGUAAUACGUAGGGUGCGAGCGUUAAUCGGAAUUACUGGGCGUAAAGCGUGCGCAGGCGGUUAUAUAAGACAGUUGUGAAAUCCCCGGGCUCAACCUGGGAAUUGCAUCUGUGACUGUAUAGCUAGAGUACGGUAGAGGGGGAUGGAAUUCCGCGUGUAGCAGUGAAAUGCGUAGAUAUGCGGAGGAACACCGAUGGCGAAGGCAAUCCCCUGGACCUGUACUGACGCUCAUGCACGAAAGCGUGGGGAGCAAACAGGAUUAGAUACCCUGGUAGUCCACGCCCUAAACGAUGUCAACUGGUUGUUGGGUGCAUUAGUACUCAGUAACGAAGCUAACGCGUGAAGUUGACCGCCUGGGGAUACGGCCGCAAGGUUGAAACCUCAAAGUAGUAGUACGGCGNGNGAGAGACGACGACGACGACGAGGAGGAGG
RNAcentral lists this ribosomal RNA (620 nucleotides) under uncultured bacterium. RNAcentral's name for it is "bacterial SSU rRNA". It matches the Rfam family "Bacterial small subunit ribosomal RNA", at positions 338 to 956 of the family's 1533-position model. The record is from RNAcentral.